GAUCUCCGCGGGCCUAUUACAGCUUGUUGGUGAGUAUGCUCACAGUSACGACGUAACGGCUGAGRGGGUGACGGCCACCUGGACUGAGACACGCCCAAUCCUACGGGAAGGCAGCAGUGGGGGAUAUGCACAUGGGCGCAAGCUGAUGCAGSGACGCGCGUGAGGGAUGACGGCUUUCGGGUKUAACCUCYUUCAGUAGGGAAGAAGSGAAAGUGACGGUACCUGCAGAAGAAGCACGGCUAACUACGUGCCAGCAGCCGCGGUAAUACGUAGGGGUGCGAGCGUUAUCCGGAAUUAUUGGGCGUAAAGAGCUCGUAGGCGGUUUGUCGCGUCUGUCGUGAAAGUCCGGGGCUUAACCCCGGAUCUGCGGUGGGUACGGGCAGACUAGAGUGCAGUAGGGGAGACUGGAAUUCCUGGUGUAGCGGUGGAAUGCGCAGAUAUCAGGAGGAACACCGAUGGCGAAGGCAGGUCUCUGGGCUGUAACUGACGCUGAGGAGCGAAAGCAUGGGGAGCGAACAGGAUUAGAUACCCUGGUAGUCCAUGCCGUAAACGUUGGGCACUAGGUGUGGGGACCAUUCCACGGUUUCCGCGCCGCAGCUAACGCAUUAAGUGCCCCGCCUGGGGAGUACGGCCGCAAGGCUAAAACUCAAAGGAAUUGACGGGGGCCCGCACAAGCGGCGGAGCAUGCGGAUUAAUUCGAUGCAACGCGAAGAACCUUACCAAGGCUUGACAUGUUCUCGAUCGCCGUAGAGAUACGGUUUCCCCWUUGGGGCGGGUUCACAGGUGGUGCAUGGUUGUCGUCAGCUCGUGUCGUGAGAUGUUGGGUUAAGUCCCGCAACGAGCGCAACCCUCGUUCCAUGUUGCCAGCACGUMRUGGUGGGGACUCAUGGGAGACUGCCGGGGUCAACUCGGAGGAAGGUGAGGACGACGUCAAAUCAUCAUGCCCCUUAUGUCUUGGGCUUCACGCAUGCUACAAUGGCCGGUACAAUGGGUUGCGAUACUGUGAGGUGGAGCUAAUCCCAAAAAGCCGGUCUCAGUUCGGAUUGGGGUCUGCAACUCGACCCCAUGAAGUCGGAGUCGCUAGUAAUCGCAGAUCAGCAACGCUGCGGUGAAUACGUUCCCGGGCCUUGUACACACCGCCCGUCAAGUCACGAAAGUUGGUAACACCCGAAGCCGGUGGCCUAACCCUUGUGGGGGAGCCGUCGAAGRUUAGYSMCSCU
RNAcentral lists this ribosomal RNA (1220 nucleotides) under Micrococcus luteus. Its description in RNAcentral is "bacterial SSU rRNA". The record is from RNAcentral. Lineage: Bacteria; Bacillati; Actinomycetota; Actinomycetes; Micrococcales; Micrococcaceae.